UCUAAUAAAGAGUCUCUCUUUGAUUUCGAUUGACCGCACCCUAGUAAUGAGUGUGCCAACAGAUUUCAAUUCAACCGUCAAAUGAAACAAUUCGCAUUGAAUCUCAGAUUGCAGCCACUUCUAAUGAUAUCUAAUUAUGUAUGUUAUGCAGAUCGAGGGCUGAACGUUAGAGUCAAAGAAACAGUUAUGCAAAAAGAAACACCGGCGCAUCUCACACUAGUUUCGAUCGCCAUUGGAGUCAAAGUCUGGCUAACAGAAGUGGCGCGGCAGAAUAACAUAACAUGAGUUUCCACCGCCCCGUUUGAGUCAAGUCUGGCUAACAGAAGCGGCGCGGCAGAAUAACAUAACAUGAGGUAAGGAUUAAACCUUGUAAUAAUGCUGGCAAUAAUCUUAUGUUCACAUAGAAUCCAUGAUGACAUAGAGAAUUAACAUAUUUUUGUUUGUCGUUAGUUUUGAAUCAGGAACAUAAAUCGAUGCGAAGAGACUUUUGGACAUGAAUCGAAAAAAAAAA
This 511-nucleotide long non-coding RNA is filed under the name Exaiptasia diaphana. RNAcentral describes it as "uncharacterized LOC110240839, transcript variant X4". Lineage: Eukaryota; Metazoa; Cnidaria; Anthozoa; Actiniaria; Aiptasiidae. The record is from RNAcentral.